UACGUAGGGUGCAAGCGUUGUCCGGAAUUACUGGGCGUAAAGAGUUCGUAGGCGGUUUGUCGCGUCGUUUGUGAAAACCAGCAGCUCAACUGCUGGCUUGCAGGCGAUACGGGCAGACUUGAGUACUGCAGGGGAGACUGGAAUUCCUGGUGUAGCGGUGAAAUGCGCAGAGAUCCGGAAGAACACCGGUGGCGAAGGGCGGGUCUCUGGGCCGAUACUGGACGCUGAGGAGCGAAAGCGUGGGGAGCGAACAGG
This 255-nucleotide ribosomal RNA is filed under the name uncultured bacterium. RNAcentral describes it as "partial 16S ribosomal RNA". It matches the Rfam family "Bacterial small subunit ribosomal RNA", at positions 524 to 776 of the family's 1533-position model. The record is from RNAcentral.